Molecule: small nucleolar RNA, 87 nt
Filed under: Chinchilla lanigera (long-tailed chinchilla)
Lineage: Eukaryota; Metazoa; Chordata; Mammalia; Rodentia; Chinchillidae
Description: Small nucleolar RNA SNORD111 (ENSCLAG00000020402.1)
Rfam family: Small nucleolar RNA SNORD111
About the family: The members of this family belong to the C/D class of snoRNAs which contain the C (UGAUGA) and D (CUGA) box motifs. Most of the members of the box C/D family function in directing site-specific 2'-O-methylation of substrate RNAs.
Source: Rfam by way of RNAcentral
UAGCCUGAGAUGAUGGCUCAGUUUCAUGUCUCUUCUCUGACAGUUCUGUCUGGAGAUGGUUUCUGCAUUAUUGAUCUGAUCAGGCUA